UACAGAGGUCUCGAGCGUUAAUCGGAGUCACUGGGCUUAAAGGGUGCGUAGGCGGCGCUGCAAGUGCCUUGUGAAAUCCCACGGCUCAACCGUGGAAUUGCUUGGUAGACUGCAGUGCUUGAGGUUGGUAGGGGUCGCCGGAACUCUAGGUGGAGCGGUGAAAUGCGUAGAUAUCUAGAGGAACGCCGAAGGUGAAGACAGGCGACUGGGCCAAUUCUGACGCUGAGGCACGAAAGCGUGGGGAGCAAACGGG
This 253-nucleotide ribosomal RNA is filed under the name uncultured bacterium. RNAcentral describes it as "partial 16S ribosomal RNA". It matches the Rfam family "Bacterial small subunit ribosomal RNA", at positions 524 to 776 of the family's 1533-position model. The record is from RNAcentral.